CCUCACUCAACGGGGAGCAAAUCAUUCAUCUCAAUGAAUGCUGCUGAGAUCAAGCGUGAGCUUGGGACCCGUAAACCUGAACCAGAUAAUGCUGGCGUAGGAAUUGGGUUAGGAUCUCAG
Molecule: non-coding RNA, 120 nt
Filed under: Vibrio anguillarum
Lineage: Bacteria; Pseudomonadati; Pseudomonadota; Gammaproteobacteria; Vibrionales; Vibrionaceae
Description: TPP sequence
Rfam family: TPP riboswitch aptamer (THI element)
About the family: Vitamin B(1) in its active form thiamin pyrophosphate (TPP) is an essential coenzyme that is synthesised by coupling of pyrimidine and thiazole moieties in bacteria. The previously detected thiamin-regulatory element, thi box was extended, resulting in a new, highly conserved RNA secondary structure, the THI element, which is widely distributed in eubacteria and also occurs in some archaea. Analysis of operon structures identified a large number of new candidate thiamin-regulated genes, mostly transporters, in various prokaryotic organisms.
Source: RNAcentral